Molecule: long non-coding RNA, 1142 nt
Organism: Ictalurus punctatus (channel catfish)
Lineage: Eukaryota; Metazoa; Chordata; Actinopteri; Siluriformes; Ictaluridae
Source: Ensembl
GUGUGUGAUGGAGAAUGUUGGUGAUGUGUUGAUGGGAAGUUGGUGGGUGAUGGGAAUGUGUGAAUGUGGUGUGUGAUGGAGAAUGUUGGUGUGUGAUGGUGAAUGUUGGUGUGUGUGAUGGAGAAUGUUGGUGUGUGAUGGAGAAUGUUGGUGUGUGUGAUGGAGAUGUUGGUGUGUGAUGGUGAAUGUUGGUGUGUGUGUAUGGUGAAUGUUGGUGUGUGAUGUUGGUAGUGUGAUGGUGAAUGUUGGUGUGUGAUGGUGAAUGUUGGUGUGUGAUGGAGAAUGUUGGUGUGUGUGAUGGAGAAUGUUGGUGUGUGAUGGUGAAUGUUGGUGUGUGUGAUGGUGAAUGUUGGUGUGUGAUGGAGAAUGUUGGUGUGUGUGUGAUGGAGAAUGUUGUGGUGUGUGUGAUGGAGAAUGUUGGUGUGUGUGAUGGUGAAUGUUGUGGUGUGUGAUGAAUGUUGGUGUGUGAUGGAGAAUGUUGGUGUGUGUGAUGGUGAAUGUUGGUGUGUGUGAUGGUGAAUGUUGGUGUGUGAUGGAGAAUGUUGGUGUGUGAUGGUGAAUGUGGUGUGUGAUGGAGAAUGUUGGUGUGUGUGAUGGAGAAUGUUGGUGUGUGUGAUGGAGAAUGUUGGUGUGUGUGAUGGAGAAUGUUGGUGUGUGUGUGAUGGUGUGAUGGAGAAUGUUGGUGUGUGAUGGAGAAUGUUGGUGUGUGAUGGAGAAUGUUGGUGUGUGAUGAAUGUUGGUGGUGUGUGUGAUGGAGAAUGUUGGUGUGUGAUGGUGAAUGUUGGUGUGUGUGAUGGAGAAUGUUGGUGUGUGAUGGUGAUGUUGGUGUGUGAUGGUGAAUGUUGGUGUGUGAUGGAGAAUGUUGGUGUGUGUGAUGGUGAAUGUGGUGUGUGUGUGUGAUGGAGAAUGUUGGUGUGUGUGAUGGAGAAUGUUGGUGUGUGUGAUGGUGAAUGUUGGUGUGUGAUGGUGAAUGUUGGUGUGUGUGAUGGAGAAUGUUGGUGUGUGUGAUGGUUGAAUGUUGGUGUGUGAUGGUGAAUGUUGGUGUGUGAUGGAGAUAAUGUUGGUGUGUGUGAUGGUGAAUGUUGGUGUGUGAUGGUGAAUGUCGGUGUGUGAUGGAGAAUGUUGGUGUGUGUGAUGGUGAA